GGGGGCCUACGGGACGCAGCAGUGGGGAAUAUUGCACAAUGGGGGAAACCCUGAUGCAGCAACGCCGCGUGAAGGAAGACGGUUUUCGGAUUGUAAACUUCUGUUCUUAGUGAAGAAAAAUGACGGUAGCUAAGGAGCAAGCCACGGCUAACUACGUGCCAGCAGCCGCGGUAAUACGUAGGUGGCAAGCGUUGUCCGGAAUUACUGGGUGUAAAGGGAGCGCAGGCGGGAAGCCAAGUCAGCUGUGAAAACUACGGGCUUAACUUGAAGACUGCAGUUGAAACUGGUUAUCUUGAGAGACGUAG
RNAcentral lists this ribosomal RNA (305 nucleotides) under uncultured bacterium. Its description in RNAcentral is "bacterial SSU rRNA". It matches the Rfam family "Bacterial small subunit ribosomal RNA", at positions 333 to 654 of the family's 1533-position model. The record is from RNAcentral.